RNAcentral lists this ribosomal RNA (774 nucleotides) under uncultured Neocallimastigales. Its description in RNAcentral is "partial large subunit ribosomal RNA". It matches the Rfam family "Eukaryotic large subunit ribosomal RNA", at positions 22 to 639 of the family's 3401-position model. The record is from RNAcentral. Lineage: Eukaryota; Fungi; Neocallimastigomycota; Neocallimastigomycetes; Neocallimastigales.
GUACACGCUGUGACUAGCAUAUCAAUAAGCGGAGGAAAAGAAACUAACAAGGAUUCCCCUAGUAACGGCGAGUGAAGCGGGGAGAGCUCAAAUUUGAAAUCUUAAAGGGUUUCCCUUUACGAAUUGUAGUUUAAAGAAGUGUUUUCUGUUGAGGUUUUGGUAAAAGUUCUUUGGAAUAGGACAUCAUAGAGGGUGAGAAUCCCGUAUUUGACCUUUACUUUCAACUUUGUGAUACACUUUCAAAGAGUCGGAUUGUUUGGGAAUGCAGUCCAAAAUGGGUGGUAAAUUUCAUCUAAAGCUAAAUAUUGGCGAGAGACCGAUAGCGAACAAGUACCGUGAGGGAAAGAUGAAAAGAACUUUGAAAAGAGAGUUAAACAGUACGUGAAAUUGUCAAAAGGGAAGCGUUUGACACCAGUGUUGUUUUUCUGAAAAUCAAUUAAAGAACUGUUUAUGCUAAGCUGUUUAGACUUUAUCAGCUAUCUGUUUAGUUUUGAGCUUUUCUUUAAUGCACUUUUCAGUUAACAAGUCAACAUCAACUUCUUUUGCUGUAAAAAAGCUUGAGGAAGGUGGCUUGAGAUUCGUCUUAAGUGUUUAUAGCCUCUUGCCUAUGCAGUCGGAGAGAUUGAGGUCUGCAGCGUAGAUCCUUCGGGGCUAGAUGCAUUUGUGCUAAGUUAUAGCAUUUCAUAGACAACUUGUUGACUAUGAUUUGUCUUGUAGCUUACUCGCUUAUGUUAUUUUACCUACGCUUAGGAUGUUGACGCGCGUGUGUGCGUG